RNAcentral lists this ribosomal RNA (440 nucleotides) under uncultured bacterium. RNAcentral's name for it is "partial 16S ribosomal RNA". It matches the Rfam family "Bacterial small subunit ribosomal RNA", at positions 338 to 795 of the family's 1533-position model. The record is from RNAcentral.
CCUACGGGAGGCAGCAGUGGGGAAUAUUGCACAAUGGGGGAAACCCUGAUGCAGCGACGCCGCGUGAGUGAAGAAGUAUUUCGGUAUGUAAAGCCCUAUCAGCAGGGAAGAAAAUGACGGUACCUGAUUAAGAAGCCCCGGCUAACUACGUGCCAGCAGCCGCGGUAACACGAAGGGGGCAAGCGUUAUCCGGAUUUACUGGGUGUAAAGGGGGCGUAGACGGCAGCACAAGUCUGGAGGUAAAUGCCGGGGCUUAACCCCGGACCUGCUUUGGAAACUGUGAAGCUAGAGUGCAGGAGAGGUAAGUGGAAUGCCUAGUGUAGCGGUGAAAUGCAUAGAUAUUAGGAAGAACACCAGUGGCGAAGGCAGCUUACUGGACUGUAACUGACGUUGAGGCUCGAAAGCGUGGGGAGCAAACAGGAUUAGAUACCCUUGUAGUC